ACGCUGGCGGCGUGCCCAAUACAUGCAAGUCGAACGGUCUUUCUAUGGAAGCUUGCUUCCACUGAGAAGAUAGUGGCGAACGGGUGAGUAACACGUGGGUAACCUGCCCAUAAGAGGGGGAUAACAUCCGGAAACGGGUGCUAAUACCGCAUAGUUUUCUUGAUCGCAUGAUCGGGAAAGGAAAGACGGCCUUUGUGCUGUCGCUUAUGGAUGGACCCGCGGCGUAUUAGUUAGUUGGUGAGGUAACGGCUCACCAAGACAAUGAUACGUAGCCGACCUGAGAGGGUGAUCGGCCACAUUGGGACUGAGACACGGCCCAAACUCCUACGGGAGGCAGCAGUAGGGAAUCUUCCGCAAUGGACGAAAGUCUGACGGAGCAACGCCGCGUGAGUGAAGAAGGUUUUCGGGAAUCGUAAAACUCUGUUGUCAGAGAAGAACAAGUUGGAGAGUAACUGCUCCAGCCUUGACGGUAUCUGACCAGAAAGCCACGGCUAACUACGUGCCAGCAGCUGC
RNAcentral lists this ribosomal RNA (513 nucleotides) under uncultured bacterium. RNAcentral describes it as "bacterial SSU rRNA". It matches the Rfam family "Bacterial small subunit ribosomal RNA", at positions 33 to 518 of the family's 1533-position model. The record is from RNAcentral.